This 433-nucleotide ribosomal RNA is filed under the name uncultured bacterium. RNAcentral's name for it is "partial 16S ribosomal RNA". It matches the Rfam family "Bacterial small subunit ribosomal RNA", at positions 29 to 507 of the family's 1533-position model. The record is from RNAcentral.
AACGAACGCUGGCGGCAUGCCUAACACAUGCAAGUCGAACGACACCUUCGGGUCUAGUGGCGCACAGGUGCGUAACGCGUGGGAACCUGCCCUUAGACUCGGAAUAACACCCCGUCAUGGGUGCUAAUACCGGAUAACGUACUCGGAUCCAACAUUGAUCCCCCUUGUAUGGGCCCGCGUUGGUUUAGCUUGCUGCUAGGGUAAAAGCCUAUCAAGGCGACGAUACAUAGCUGGUCUGAGAGGAAGAUCAGCCACACUGGGAGUGAGACACGGCCGAGACUCCUACGGGAGGCAGCAGUGGGGAAUAUAGGACAAUGGCCGAAAGCCUGAACCAGCACUGCUGCGUGAGUGAUGAAGGCCGUAGGGUUGUAAAGCUCUUUUACCCGGGAUGAUAAUGACAGUACCGGGAGAAUAAGCUCCGGCUAACUCCGUG